Non-coding RNA from Eimeria brunetti, 73 nucleotides. The record is from Rfam. Lineage: Eukaryota; Apicomplexa; Conoidasida; Eucoccidiorida; Eimeriidae.
GCGGGCAUGGUCUAGNGGCUAUGACGUCUGCCUAACACGCAGAAGAUCCCGGGUUCGAUCCCCGGUGCCCGUA